AUCACGGAGCUGAAUCUGCCGCAGCUAGAAAUGCUCAAGAACCAGCUGGACCAGGAAGUGGAGUUCUUGUCCACGUCCAUUGCUCAGCUCAAAGUGGUACAGACCAAGUAUGUGGAAGCCAAGGACUGUCUGAACGUGCUGAACAAGAGCAACGAGGGCUGGAGCGCAAUGGUGAGAUCUUGGCUUACUGCAACCUCCGCCUCCCGAGUUCAAGAGAUUCUUCUGCCUCAGUCUCCCGAGUAGCUGGGACUUUAGAUGUAUGUCCCUGGGAAGCUGCAUGAUGUGGAACACGUGCUCAUCGAUGUGGGAACUGGGUACUAUGUAGAGAAGACAGCUGAGGAUGCCAAGGACUUCUUCAAGAGGAAGAUAGAUUUUCUAACCAAGCAGAUGGAGAAAAUCCAACCAGCUCUUCAGGAGAAGCACGCCAUGAAACAGGCCGUCAUGGAAAUGAUGAGUCAGAAGAUUCAGCAGCUCACAGCCCUGGGGGCAGCUCAGGCUACUGCUAAGGCCUGAGAGUUUUUGCAGAAAUGGGGCAGAGGGACACCCUUUGGGCGUGGCUUCCUGGUGAUGGGAAGGGUCUUGUGUUUUAAUGCCAAUAAAUGUGCCAGCUGGGCAGAAUGUUGGUCUUUUCUUGGAUUAAGCAAGGGACUGGUGAUGAGAUGGGGGGUGUGGUCGAGAGUGUGGGCCCCGUCUCAGAGCCUGAUGCGCAGGGGUGAUGCGAUGCGCCUCUUGGAGGCUCCAUCGCAGGGCCCUUUGACCAGCUGGAAGAAAUCCUAGGCUGGGAGUCUGCUGCUGCUCACUCUGCAGAGCUGGUUGCCAAGGGAACGGUUGGCAAGCGGAAGUGGGGCUGCGCUGGCGCUUCCUCUUCCGGGUCGGCGCUCCUGCCUCCCUGCAGGGAGCUGCUUAUGGGACACCAAUUCCUGCGCGGCCUCUUAACGCUGCUGCUGCCGCCGCCACCCCUGUAUACCCGGCACCGCAUGCUCGGUCCAGAGUCCGUCCCGCCCCCAAAACGAUCCCGCAGCAAACUCAUGGCACCGCCCCGAAUCGGGACGCACAAUGGCACCUUCCACUGCGACGAGGCACUGGCAUGCGCACUGCUUCGCCUCCUGCCGGAGUACCGGGAUGCAGAGAUUGUGCGGACCCGGGAUCCCGAAAAACUCGCUUCCUGUGACAUCGUGGUGGACGUGGGGGGCGAGUACGACCCUCGGAGACACCGAUAUGACCAUCACCAGAGGUCUUUCACAGAGACCAUGAGCUCCCUGUCCCCUGGGAAGCCGUGGCAGACCAAGCUGAGCAGUGCGGGACUCAUCUAUCUGCACUUCGGGCACAAGCUGCUGGCCCAGUUGCUGGGCACUAGUGAAGAGGACAGCAUGAUGUAUGAGAACUUUGUGGAGGAGGUGGAUGCUGUGGACAAUGGGAUCUCCCAGUGGGCAGAGGGGGAGCCUCGAUAUGCACUGACCACUACCCUGAGUGCACGAGUUGCUCGACUUAAUCCUACCUGGAACCACCCCGACCAAGACACUGAGGGUUCAAGCGUGCAAUGGAUCUGGUUCAAGAGGAGUUUCUGCAGAGAUUAGAUUUCUACCAACACAGCUGGCUGCCAGCCCGGGCCUUGGUGGAAGAGGCCCUUGCCCAGCGAUUCCAGGUGGACCCAAGUGGAGAGAUUGUGGAACUGGCGAAAGGUGCAUGUCCCUGGAAGGAGCAUCUCUACCACCUGGAAUCUGGGCUGUCCCCUCCAGUGGCCAUCUUCUUUGUUAUCUACACUGACCAGGCUGGACAGUGGCGAAUACAGUGUGUGCCCAAGGAGCCCCACUCAUUCCAAAGCCGGCUGCCCCUGCCAGAGCCAUGGCGGGGUCUUCGGGACGAGGCCCUGGACCAGGUCAGUGGGAUCCCUGGCUGCAUCUUCGUCCAUGCAAGCGGCUUCACUGGCGGUCACCACACCCGAGAGGGUGCCUUGAGCAUGGCCCGUGCCACCUUGGCCCAG
This is a long non-coding RNA of Homo sapiens (human), 1984 nucleotides long. The record is from Ensembl. NCBI's taxonomy places the organism in Eukaryota, Metazoa, Chordata, Mammalia, Primates, Hominidae.